UAAACAUUUUAAUAAAGUAGCGAAAAAGCUGACAAAUUAUUUAACCAAAUUUAAAGCUGAACAAAUAUCAGAAACUGUUUAUGGUGAUGAUGAUGAUAAUAUAUAUGAAGAUUUCGAAUUGUGGAAAAAACAAACAUUCACUGCACUUUCAAAAAUAUUAAGUAUACCACAUAUACCCAUAGAAUAUGUUAAUGGUGAUAAUAUUGAAUUUAUAAAUUGGAAAAAUGACCCUGAAAUAAAACUUGAUAUUGAAUUUGUGGACGAUCUAACAGUAGUAAACGACCAGUCAAAUGAAAAUGACAACAAAAUUAACGAAACGAGUGAAACAAAAAAUAAAAAAAUUUUACAUUCGAACACAUGUUUAACAGGAAAGUUUUAUUUCAAUCAUCAUACAGGUAAAGUACUAUCUAACACAAAUUUGUUAAAUAAUACAAAAAAUUUAAUAGAAUAUGAUAAAGUAAAUCAUAUAAACAUUUCAAUAAAAAACAUUUCUUAUAAAUCUGCUGAUACGUUAGUUCUACUUCCGAAAAAUGCAAAGUAUUUAACAACUUGGUGGUUAAAACGGUUAAACAUAAACGAAAUAGAAAAGAAUAAAAAGUUUAUUUUUGUAAAAAAAAAAAAAGAUUCAACAAAGCUUUCACAUACACAAUCAUGUGAUACGAACAUACGUGCUGGUAAUCCUAGUAGUAAUGGUAAUCAUAGCUAUGGUGAAAAUUUUAUGCCAAAUGAAAAUACAAAUCAAGAUAUAUACCCAACUAUUGAUCAUGAUGAUUCGAUUUGUGUACCCUUCCCAACACCAUGCAGUGUUGAACGCGCAUUAGAUUAUUAUUGUGAUUUGUCAACUAUGCCAAAAGUAAAUGUAUUAAAAAAAUUCAAAUGUUUUAUUAAAGAUAAAGAAGAAUUAAAGAUGUUUAAUUCUGUUUUAUCAAGUAAUAAAAGAAAUACGUUUUUUAAUAUAUGUAAAGAAUGUAACAUGACUUUGAUAGAAUUUAUAGAUAUAUUCAUGCCAAAAGCAGUUUUUGAAUUAGCACCAUUUCU
This 1038-nucleotide long non-coding RNA is filed under the name Piliocolobus tephrosceles (Ugandan red Colobus). RNAcentral's name for it is "lncRNA (ENSPTEG00000007419.1)". The record is from RNAcentral. Lineage: Eukaryota; Metazoa; Chordata; Mammalia; Primates; Cercopithecidae.